This 459-nucleotide ribosomal RNA is filed under the name uncultured bacterium. RNAcentral's name for it is "bacterial SSU rRNA". It matches the Rfam family "Bacterial small subunit ribosomal RNA", at positions 29 to 509 of the family's 1533-position model. The record is from RNAcentral.
AAUGAACGUUGGCGGCAUGGAUUAGGCAUGCAAGUCGCGCGACAAGCCAUUUUUAGCUUGCUAUUUAUGGUGGAGGAGCGGCGAAAGGGUGAGUAACGCGUGGAUCACCUACCCAGGGGUGCGGAAUAGCGGCUGGAAACGGCCGGUAAUGCCGCAUGAUGUCUCCGGACCAAAGCUUCGGCGCCCUUGGACGGGUCCGCGUAUCAUUAGCUAGUUGGUGGGGUAAAGGCCUACCAAGGCGAAGAUGAUUAGUGGGCGUGAGAGCGUGGCCCACCACACUGGGACUGAGACACUGCCCAGACACCUACGGGUGGCUGCAGUCGAGAAUCUUUGUCAAUGGACGCAAGUCUGGACAAGCGAUGCCGCGUGCGGGAUGAAGGCCUUCGGGUUGUAAACCGCUGUCAGAGGGGAGCAAAAUUUUGAGCGAUCCUCAGAGGAAGCCCGGGCUAAGUUCGUGCC